GAUGAACGCUGGCGGCGUGCCUAAUACAUGCAAGUAGAACGCUGAAGGAAGGAGCUUGCUCUUUCCGGAUGAGUUGCGAACGGGUGAGUAACGCGUAGGUAACCUGCCUGGUAGCGGGGGAUAACUAUUGGAAACGAUAGCUAAUACCGCAUAACAGUAGAUGUUGCAUGACAACUAUUUGAAAGGGGCAAUUGCUCCACUACCAGAUGGACCUGCGUUGUAUUAGCUAGUUGGUGAGGUAACGGCUCACCAAGGCGACGAUACAUAGCCGACCUGAGAGGGUGAUCGGCCACACUGGGACUGAGACACGGCCCAGACUCCUACGGGAGGCAGCAGUAGGGAAUCUUCGGCAAUGGACGGAAGUCUGACCGAGCAACGCCGCGUGAGUGAAGAAGGUUUUCGGAUCGUAAAGCUCUGUUGUAAGAGAAGAACGAGUGUGAGAGUGGAAAGUUCACACUGUGGCGGUAUCUUACCAGAAAGGGACGGCUAACUACGUG
Molecule: ribosomal RNA, 497 nt
Filed under: uncultured bacterium
Lineage: Bacteria
Description: partial 16S ribosomal RNA
Rfam family: Bacterial small subunit ribosomal RNA
Source: RNAcentral